RNAcentral lists this ribosomal RNA (499 nucleotides) under uncultured bacterium. Its description in RNAcentral is "partial 16S ribosomal RNA". It matches the Rfam family "Bacterial small subunit ribosomal RNA", at positions 28 to 507 of the family's 1533-position model. The record is from RNAcentral.
GACGAACGCUGGCGGCGUGCUUAACACAUGCAAGUCGAACGGGCCCGCUCUCUUUUUUGGGGGUGGGUUGAGUGGCGAACGGGUGAGUAUCACGUGAGUAACCUGCCCCCUGCUCCUGGAUAACUGCUUGAAAGGGCGGCUAAUACGGGGUGUGCCGGCUGGUCCGCAUGGGCCUGGUCGGGAUAGUUUCAUCUUCGGGUGUUUCGGUGGGGGAUGGGCUCGCGGCCUAUCAGCUUGUUGGUGGGGUGAUGGCCCACCAAGGCGGUGACGGGUAGCCGGCCUGAGAGGGUGGGCGGCCAGACUGGGACUGAGACACGGCCCAGACUCCGGCGGGAGGCAGCAGUGGGGGGGAUUGCACAAUGGGCGGAAGCCUGAUGCAGCGACGUCGCGUGAGGGAUGGAGGCCUUCGGGUGGUGAACCUCUUUCUCCGGUGGUGAAGGCCCUGUCCGUUGCGGCGGGGUUGACGGUAGCCGGGGAUGAAGCGCCGGCUAACUACGUG